UACAGGGGGUGCAAACGUUGCUCGGAAUCAUUGGGCGUAAAGCGCACGUAGGCGGUUCGUUAUGUCGGAUGUGAAAGCCCUUGGCUUAACCGAGGAAGUGCAUCCGAAACUGGCGAGCUAGAGUACUAAAGAGGAUCGCGGAAUUCCCGGUGUAGAGGUGAAAUUCGUAGAUAUCGGGAGGAACACCGGUGGCGAAGGCGGCGAUCUGGGUAGAUACUGACGCUGAGACGCGAAAGCGUGGGUAGCAAACAGG
This 253-nucleotide ribosomal RNA is filed under the name uncultured bacterium. RNAcentral's name for it is "partial 16S ribosomal RNA". It matches the Rfam family "Bacterial small subunit ribosomal RNA", at positions 524 to 776 of the family's 1533-position model. The record is from RNAcentral.